AUUAGGCAAAAAAAUGCUGCAUUUCCUUUAUUUAGCAUUCAGGAGCAGGAUCUUUGCACCUCUGCAUACUCUUCUCUUUCCUACUCUAUGCACAGCAGAGUCAAACCUAGAACACCAGCCAAAGUUUUGGAUGGUCUGGAAUGUGGAUUAAGAGCUGUCUGCAUAGCCCAGAACUGGCCCAGAAGGAGGAAGAGAAAUAACUCCUAAUGUUGACAAGUCCAACUCUGAAAUGUCCACAGCACUAUGGAGCCUCUGGAUGGAUGGAAGUGACAAAGUCCCUUCCUCAUUGCGAUUAUUGGCAAACAACCUUUGCCUGUUUCAUCACCUUUUGCAGGUACCAAGUCUCCCUGGUAUAAAGUCAAGUAGAUGAAAGUAAGUUACUCAUCCUGCUACCUGGUUCUCUGGACCACUGAGGAAAUACCUGCAUACAAUCAACCCCAGAAUGCACUGGCCACUGCCUGGUUUUAUCAGAGACCUCCCUAUGGGUCACAAAGUGAUUCUGAGAAAGUAAAAACCAUUCCAACAGCUGGCAGCCAACAGCUAACAACUAGGCUGAAGCAAAAUGUUCCCAAUUGAACAUAAACAACUUUCCCAGAAUAUAAGCAAUAAUCAGAAAAGGCUAAUCUGUGACCAUGCCUAAAACAUGACAGAGACAAACCCCUACCUCAACCACCAAAAUAAAGACUUUCUUUUUCUUUUAUUUUUGCUUUUCUCACUGACAGGAGUAACCAUUGCUUCUUUACCAAUGACAACUCUCUGAAACUGCUUCAAUCCUUUUACCUACUGGAUAAAAAUUGCCAAGAUACCCAGUCACCAAGUUUCCAGCACUUUCUGUAGAACUGGCCCCAGAGUUGGUCUCCACUUCCUGACACACCCAAUCCAAACCUGACUGCCAGCUUCCUUCAACAUUCCUAAGAAUCACCGAGCACAAGCACAAGCCCAAGACCUAUAAUAAAGGUCUCUCAACAAAAUGUCCCAUGGGUCCCAUUGUGUGUGCGCUCCCUGACAACAACAAGCUAAAUAGACCUAAUUUUGAACACAGCUGCAUUUCCUGGUGGUCUUGGCUGUUGGGCUUCAACAUUAUGAAAGACGAGACACUUCUUCAGUUCUUAUAAGCAACUGAUGCAUAAUUCUAAACAUUUUAAUGUAUGAAUAAGGGCUAAUUACCAGUAUGGCCUCCUAGUAUUCUGAUGUGUGACUAGGUUGUUCUGAGGAUUCAGAUUUGGUGUUCUCUGAAAUAUGGUUCACACUUUGUAAUUGCAGAGUUCCUCCCACGCAGGCAUCAGGGGUACUCUGUUCUCUGCAUCCUCAGUGCUGGAGGUGAUUAAGAACUGAGUGGCUCUGCUUCAGUGGGCUUGGCUGCGUCUUGGCUCUCCUUCAUCUCUUUCAUAUUCCAGUAGACUAGCCCAGGCUUAUUCUCACUUCUGCUGUAUUCCAUUAAACAAAGCGAGUCAUGAGACCAGCCCAAUAUUCAGAAUGGGCGGGGACUACAAAGUUACAGGGCAAAGGGCAUGAUAUUAAUACCACUGGGUGGCCAUCGAAGAAACCCAGCAAUGCUACUGUUUAACCUUUCUGUGUCUUAGUGUCUUCACCGGUAAAAUAGAGAAAAUAAUAUCCACCUCAUAGAAUAUUGUAGGGCCUAAAUAUGUUAAUAUUUGCAAAAUGUAGAGACUAGUCCCCAGAACCCAGUAGGCAAUAUAUAAAUGUUUGGUUAUUAUUAUUGUCUUGAGUUGGUUAGAGUGUAAAAUUAAAGCACUUCUUGCCUUAUAGUUUCACAUUUUUCUUGGUUUUAUUUAAUUAUCUAUCUGUUUGUUUAGCCUUACAGUAGGUACUGACAUGUACAUAUUUUCAUCACAAGUGGUUUGGGCCCACUGUUGUCAACUAUCAGGCCUUGAGAUACAUAUGCAUUUCGAGUAAUAAGAUAUUCAUUUUCUUAUUGCUAAAGCAGAUAGCUAUGUAACUCCCUCUGAAUUUACUUGUUCAGUAUCACUUUAUUAGCUGUGCUUCCCUUAAACUUGUCUCAUUAGAGUAACUUGCAACCAAAUCUCAAGGUAUGUGUAAUAAAAUUACUGUGUUAUUUUUAAGUGUCUAGAGAAUCAUUUUAUAAUGUAAAAUUUUGUAUACAUUCAUAUUGCAACUGCAUUUUCUUCCCUCUCCAAUUCUCAGUCAGUUCUCUUCUCCACCGGCAAACGGGAUCGGGAAGGCAGACCCCCUAGAAUUUUGCAGUGCAAUACCUGUGUGAUUAUAUACAACAGCCCAGGGACUGUCACGCCAUCUAAGUGAGGUUCAGUCAAAUAAAGUUGAACCACCCAUUAAGAGUAACCUCCAAUGUAAUGCUCACCGUACUCUGUUCCUGAGGAGUUUAUUUUACUGGUUUAUCUUUGUUGUUUUUCAUAAUACAAAGCAAAUGCUGCUUACACAGGGUUUUCAGCAGAAGCCAGCCG
Macaca mulatta (Rhesus monkey) is the source of this 2444-nucleotide long non-coding RNA. The record is from Ensembl. Lineage: Eukaryota; Metazoa; Chordata; Mammalia; Primates; Cercopithecidae.